AUGUUAGUUUAUGAGUUCAUAUCCAAUGGAACCCUUUAUGACCAUCUUCAUGUCGAAGGAUCAAGAUUACUGUCAUGGAAUAACAGGUUACGGAUAGCAACUGAGACAGCCAAAUCCCUGGCAUAUCUUCACUCAACGGCUUCAGUACCCAUCAUCCAUAGAGACAUUAAGUCAGUUAAUAUACUUUUAGAUGACACUUUAAGAGCAAAGGUAGCAGAUUUUGGAGCUUCAAGGUAUAUUGCUGUGGAGAAAUCAGGUUUAACAACGAUGGUGCAGGGAACUAUCGGAUAUUUGGAUCCUAUGUACUUCUACACAGGGCGGCUCACAGAGAAGAGUGAUGUCUACAGCUUUGGCGUCAUGGUUGUAGAGUUACUGACAAGAAAGAAGCCGUUCUCAUAUAUCUCAUCCGAAGGUGAUGGACUUGUUGCACACUUUGCUAUCUUGUUUGCAGAACACAGUCUAUCACAGAUUCUAGAUCCUCAAGUUGUAGACGAGGGAAGUACAGAAGUCCAAGAAGUUGCCGCUCUUGCAGUAGCAUGUAUACAGUUAAAAGGAGAGGAUCGUCCAACUAUGAGACAAGUGGAGUUGACACUAGAAAGGCUUCAAUCAUCUAAUCAAGUUAUUUCAUACAAUGUGGUGGAUGAGGAAUUUGUGGAAGAUGGUAUUAAAAUAAAUUAUCCAUUGAGUCCGGAUGGAAGAAGAGGCGAGGACUAUUUCAUGGAACCACAUAACACCCCCAGUAGUUCCACUAAUUAG
Molecule: ribosomal RNA, 756 nt
Filed under: Triticum aestivum (bread wheat)
Lineage: Eukaryota; Viridiplantae; Streptophyta; Magnoliopsida; Poales; Poaceae
Description: partial small subunit ribosomal RNA
Source: RNAcentral